Molecule: ribosomal RNA, 483 nt
Filed under: uncultured bacterium
Lineage: Bacteria
Description: partial 16S ribosomal RNA
Rfam family: Bacterial small subunit ribosomal RNA
Source: RNAcentral
AUUGAACGCUGGCGGCAGGCCUAACGCAUGCAAGUCGAGCGGAUGAAGGGAGCUUGCUCCUGGAUUCAGCGGCGGACGGGUGAGUAAUGCCUAGGAAUCUGCCUGGUAGUGGGGGAUAACGUCCGGAAACGGGCGCUAAUACCGCAUACGUCCUGAGGGAGAAAGUGGGGGAUCUUCGGACCUCACGCUAUCAGAUGAGCCUAGGUCGGAUUAGCUAGUUGGUGGGGUAAAGGCCUACCAAGGCGACGAUCCGUAACUGGUCUGAGAGGAUGAUCAGUCACACUGGAACUGAGACACGGUCCAGACUCCUACGGGAGGCAGCAGUGGGGAAUAUUGGACAGUGGGCGAAAGCCUGAUCCAGCCAUGCCGCGUGUGUGAAGAAGGUCUUCGGAUUGUAAAGCACUUUAAGUUGGGAGGAAGGGCAGUAAGUUAAUACCUUGCUGUUUUGACGUUACCAACAGAAUAAGCACCGGCUAACUUCGU